This 1362-nucleotide ribosomal RNA is filed under the name uncultured marine bacterium. Its description in RNAcentral is "bacterial SSU rRNA". It matches the Rfam family "Bacterial small subunit ribosomal RNA". The record is from RNAcentral.
GAGUUUGAUCCUGGCUCAGGAUGAACGCUAGCGGCAGGCCUAACACAUGCAAGUCGAGGGGUAACAUAGAAAAGCUUGCUUUUCUGAUGACGACCGGCGCACGGGUGCGUAACGCGUAUACAAUCUGCCUUAUACUGGGGUAUAGCCUUUAGAAAUGAAGAUUAAUCCCCCAUAGCCUCUUUUAAUGGCAUCAUUAUAAGAGUAAAGGUUACGGUAUAAGAUGAGUAUGCGUUCUAUUAGUUUGUUGGUGAGGUAACGGCUCACCAAGACUGCGAUAGAUAGGGGCCCUGAGAGGGGGAUCCCCCACACUGGUACUGAGACACGGUCCAUACUCCUACGGGAGGCAGCAGUGGGGAAUAUUGCGCAAUGGACGAAAGUCUGACGCAGCGAUUCCGCGUGGAGGAUGAAGCAUUAAGGUGUGUAAACUUCUUUUCUGGAGGAAGACGAAUGACGGUACUCCAGGAAUAAGGGACGGCUAACUACGUGCCAGCAGCCGCGGUAAUACGUAGGUCCCAAGCGUUAUCCGGAGUUACUGGGCGUAAAGCGUCUGUAGCCGGGCUUAUAAGUCUAUUUUCAAAUAUCACGACUCAAUCGUGAAGAGGGAGUAGAUACUGUAGGCCUAGAGGAUUUUAGGGGUUAGUGGAAUUUCCGGUGGAGCGGUGAAAUGCGUUAAUAUCGGAAGGAAUGCCGAAAGCGAAAGCAGCUAACUAUAAAAUAACUGACGGUCAGAGACGAAAGCAUGGGUAGCAAACGGGAUUAGAUACCCCGGUAGUCCAUGCCGUAAAUGAUGCUUGCUAGAUGUUUGGCUAUAUGCUGAGUAUCGUACCUAACGGGUUAAGCAAGCCGCCUGGGUAGUAUAUUCGCAAGAAUGAAACUCAAAGGGAUAGGCGGGGGAACACACAAGCAGUGGAUCUUCUGGAUUAAUUGGAUAAUAAGCCAAGAAUCUUACCUAGGCUUGACAUGUACUUUGUCGUAUGUGAAAGCGUGCUAGUCACACUUUGUGUGACAGGGUAUACAGGUGGUGCAUGGUCGUCGUCAGCUCGUGCCGCAAGGUGUCCAGUUAAGUCUGGUAACGAGCGCAACCCUCGUCUCUAGUUAGUAUGUCUAGAGAGACUGCCUGAGUAAUCAGGAGGAAGGAGAGGAUGACGUCAGAUCCUCAUGCCCCUUAUGCCUAGGGCGUCAUAGAAGAUACAAUGGGUAGGACAGCGAGCAGCAAUACCGCGAGGUGGAGCCAAUCUUUAAACCUACCCCUAGUUCGGAUUGUAGUCUGGAACUCGACUACAUGAAGUCGGAAUUGCUAGUAAUGGCGGGUCAGCCAUACCGCCGUGAAUAUGUCCCUGUUCCUUGCACUCACCGCCCGUC